This 253-nucleotide ribosomal RNA is filed under the name uncultured bacterium. RNAcentral's name for it is "partial 16S ribosomal RNA". It matches the Rfam family "Bacterial small subunit ribosomal RNA", at positions 524 to 776 of the family's 1533-position model. The record is from RNAcentral.
UACGUAGGUGACCAGCGUUGUCCGGAUUUACUGGGCGUAAAGAGCGCGCAGGCGGUCGUUCAAGUCGAGUGUGAAAGCCCCCGGCUCAACUGGGGAGGGUCACUCGAUACUGAUCGACUUGAAGGCAGGAGAGGGAAGCGGAAUUCCCGGUGUAGUGGUGAAAUGCGUAGAUAUCGGGAGGAACACUAGUGGCGAAGGCGACUACCUGGCCUGUUCUUGACGCUGAGGCGCGAAAGCUAGGGGAGCAAACGGG